CGGCGGACGGGUGAGUAACACGUGGAUAACCUACCUAUAAGACUGGGAUAACUUCGGGAAACCGGAGCUAAUACCGGAUAAUAUAUUGAACCGCAUGGUUCAAUGGUGAAAGACGGUUUUGCUGUCACUUAUAGAUGGAUCCGCGCCGCAUUAGCUAGUUAGUAAGGUAACGGCUUACCAAGGCAACGAUGCGUAGCCGACCUGAGAGGGUGAUCGGCCACACUGGAACUGAGACACGGUCCAGACUCCUACGGGAGGCAGCAGCG
RNAcentral lists this ribosomal RNA (266 nucleotides) under uncultured Staphylococcus sp. RNAcentral describes it as "partial 16S ribosomal RNA". It matches the Rfam family "Bacterial small subunit ribosomal RNA", at positions 96 to 356 of the family's 1533-position model. Lineage: Bacteria; Bacillati; Bacillota; Bacilli; Caryophanales; Staphylococcaceae. The record is from RNAcentral.